CAGCCCCUCGAGUGGUGGGGAUGAUUAUUUGGCCUAAAGCGUCCGUAGCCGGCCGAGCAAGUCUUCCGUUAAAUCCAGCGUCUCAAGCGUUGGACUGCGGGAGAUACUACACGGCUAGAGAGUGGGAGAGGUCAGCGGUAUUCUGGGGGUAGGGGCGAAAUCCUUUGAUCCCCGGAGGACCACCAGUGGCGAAGGCUGCUGACUAGAACACGUCUGACGGUCAGGGACGAAAGCUGGGGUAGCGAACCGGAUUAGAUACCCGCGUAGUCC
Molecule: ribosomal RNA, 270 nt
Filed under: uncultured archaeon
Lineage: Archaea
Description: partial 16S ribosomal RNA
Rfam family: Archaeal small subunit ribosomal RNA
Source: RNAcentral